This 401-nucleotide ribosomal RNA is filed under the name uncultured bacterium. Its description in RNAcentral is "bacterial SSU rRNA". It matches the Rfam family "Bacterial small subunit ribosomal RNA", at positions 355 to 773 of the family's 1533-position model. The record is from RNAcentral.
UGGGGAAUAUUGGACAAUGGGGGCAACCCUGAUCCAGCAAUGCCGCGUGAGUGAUGAAGGCCUUAGGGUUGUAAAGCUCUUUUGGCGGGGACGAUGAUGACGGUACCCGCAGAAUAAGCCCCGGCUAACUUCGUGCCAGCAGCCGCGGUAAUACGAAGGGGGCGAGCGUUGUUCGGAAUUACUGGGCGUAAAGGGCUCGUAGGUGGCCAACUAAGUCGGACGUGAAAUCCCUCGGCUUAACCGGGGAACUGCGUCCGAUACUGGAUGGCUUGAGUUUGGGAGAGGGAUGCGGAAUUCCAGGUGUAGCGGUGAAAUGCGUAGAUAUCUGGAGGAACACCGGUGGCGAAGGCGGCAUCCUGGACCAACACUGACACUGAGGAGCGAAAGCCAGGGGAGCAAAC